This 456-nucleotide ribosomal RNA is filed under the name uncultured Leptolinea sp. RNAcentral's name for it is "bacterial SSU rRNA". It matches the Rfam family "Bacterial small subunit ribosomal RNA", at positions 916 to 1381 of the family's 1533-position model. The record is from RNAcentral. Lineage: Bacteria; Bacillati; Chloroflexota; Anaerolineae; Anaerolineales; Anaerolineaceae.
AGACGGGCCCCGCACAAGCAGCGGAGCGUGUGGUUUAAUUCGAUGCUACACGAAGAACCUUACCAGGGUUUGACAUGCAAGUGGUAGGAAACCGAAAGGUGACCGACCCUUCGGGGAGCUUGCACAGGUGCUGCAUGGCUGUCGUCAGCUCGUGUCGUGAGAUGUUCGGUUAAGUCCGCUAACGAGCGCAACCCUCGCUGUGUGUUAUAUGUGUCACACGGGACUGCCGGUCUUAAGCCGGAGGAAGGUGGGGAUGAUGUCAAGUCAGCAUGGCCUUUAUAUCCUGGGCUACACACACGCUACAAUGGCCAGCACAGUAGGUUGCUAAGCCGCGAGGUGGAGCCAAUCCAUAAAGCUGGUCUCAGUUCAGAUUGCAGGCUGCAACCCGCCUGCAUGAAGCCGGAAUCGCUAGUAAUCGCGGACCAGCAUGCCGCGGUGAAUACGUUCCCGGGGCUU